GGACGAUCAGCAAUUCUGCCUGAGGUGGAACAAUCACCAAAGUACUUUAGUAGCGGUUUUUGACACAUUAUUAGAAAGCGGAACGUUAGUGGACUGCACGCUUGCCGCCGAGGGAAAAUUCCUGAAUGCACACAAAGUCGUCUUAUCAGCGUGCAGUCCGUAUUUUGAGGCACUAUUAUCAAAACACUUCGACAAACAUCCAAUCCUCAUCCUAAAAGAUGUAAAGUUCCAAGAACUGAAGGCAA
RNAcentral lists this unclassified non-coding RNA (245 nucleotides) under Hevea brasiliensis (rubber tree). The record is from RNAcentral. Lineage: Eukaryota; Viridiplantae; Streptophyta; Magnoliopsida; Malpighiales; Euphorbiaceae.